GGCGAGGUAGCUCAGCUGGUUAGAGCGCAGGAUUCAUAAUCCUGAGGUCCCGAGUUCAAUCCUCGGCCUCGCUA
Molecule: transfer RNA, 74 nt
Filed under: Alloprevotella sp.
Lineage: Bacteria; Pseudomonadati; Bacteroidota; Bacteroidia; Bacteroidales; Prevotellaceae
Also listed under: 1 other name
Description: tRNA-Met(cat)
Rfam family: tRNA
About the family: Transfer RNA (tRNA) molecules are approximately 80 nucleotides in length. Their secondary structure includes four short double-helical elements and three loops (D, anti-codon, and T loops).
Source: RNAcentral